GGGGUGCUACACUGCCAGUGUCAGGUGCCACAGUGGUGCAGGAUGCUCCUUAGAUGUAUCCUGGAAAGGGAGCUGGGAGACAGCCUGGAGGAGCUACCACCUAUUGUCAAUGUCAGGAACCAAGGAUUCUCCUACGAGUGAAACUACACGUCCCUUCCCAGUGCUGGAGUUCUUUUCAUCACGUAGGAGAACCUGUAGCACUCUUGCCUAAUAAAGCAUAUUGACUUAUCUGUAAACAGGUUAUUCUGACAGAAGUGGGAAAGGAAAUAGAGAACUAUGAACCACCAUUCUUUACCCAGAAUCUGGCCUAACCUCCAAGGAAUAACCUUCAAAACAGCUUGCUUCUA
Melospiza melodia melodia is the source of this 347-nucleotide long non-coding RNA. RefSeq lists it as uncharacterized. The transcript is spliced from 3 exons. The record is from RefSeq and is a predicted model, not a curated record. NCBI's taxonomy places the organism in Eukaryota, Metazoa, Chordata, Aves, Passeriformes, Passerellidae.